AGCGAACGUUUGCGGCGGGCCUAACACAUGCAAGUCGAACGCACUAGCAAUAGUGAGUGGCGCACGGGUGCGUAACACGUGGGUAAUCAACCCUUCAGCCUGGGAUAACGACUCGAAAGGGUCGCUAAUACCGGAUACGGCGCGAGAGGCUUCGGCUUCUCACGAGAAAGCCACGCAAGGGGCACUGAAGGACGAGCCUGCAGCCCAUCAGCUAGUUGGUGAGGUAAGAGCUCACCAAGGCUAAGACGGGUAGCUGGUCUGAGAGGAUGAUCAGCCACACUGGAACUGAGACACGGUCCGGACUCCUACGGGAGGCAGCAGUGGGGAAUAUUGCGCAAUGGGCGAAAGCCUGACGCAGCCACGCCGCGUGAGCGAUGAAGGCC
RNAcentral lists this ribosomal RNA (383 nucleotides) under uncultured bacterium. RNAcentral describes it as "bacterial SSU rRNA". It matches the Rfam family "Bacterial small subunit ribosomal RNA", at positions 29 to 416 of the family's 1533-position model. The record is from RNAcentral.